RNAcentral lists this ribosomal RNA (520 nucleotides) under uncultured Glomeromycotina. RNAcentral's name for it is "SSU rRNA". It matches the Rfam family "Eukaryotic small subunit ribosomal RNA", at positions 569 to 1091 of the family's 1831-position model. Lineage: Eukaryota; Fungi; Glomeromycota. The record is from RNAcentral.
AGCAGCCGCGGUAAUUCCAGCUCCAAUAGCGUAUAUUAAAGUUGUUGCAGUUAAAAAGCUCGUAGUUGAAUUUCGGGAUCAUCAGGUUGGUCGUGCCAUCGGUAUGUACUAGCUUUGGUGGUUCCUACCUCUUGAAGAACCGUAAUGUCAUUAACUUGGUGUUGCGGGGAAUCAGGACUGUUACUUUGAAAAAUUAGAGUGUUUAAAGCAGGCAAACGCUCGAAUACAUUAGCAUGGAAUAAUGAAAUAGGACGUUUGAUCUUAUUUUGUUGGUUUCUAGGAUCGACGUAAUGAUUAAUAGGGAUAGUUGGGGGCAUUAGUAUUCAAUUGUCAGAGGUGAAAUUCUUGGAUUUAUUGAAGACUAACUACUGCGAAAGCAUUUGCCAAGGAUGUUUUCAUUAAUCAAGAACGAAAGUUAGGGGAUCGAAGACGAUCAGAUACCGUCGUAGUCUUAACCAUAAACUAUGCCGACUAGGGAUCGGAUGAUGUUAAUUUUUUAAUGACUCAUUCGGCGCCUUAC